This is a long non-coding RNA of Spea bombifrons (plains spadefoot toad), 800 nucleotides long. RefSeq lists it as uncharacterized. The record is from RefSeq and is a predicted model, not a curated record. The transcript has 3 exons. Lineage: Eukaryota; Metazoa; Chordata; Amphibia; Anura; Pelobatidae.
UUUUAACCACUGGCUUGUGGUACUUUGAAAAUCACCAGGGGCUGUCAGAGUUGGGUCCUCUGAAAAAUUUACAGUGCUAAAUCAGAGCAUAUGCUGUGAGGGAAAGGAAAAAAAAUGCUUCAAGACUGGAGCAAGUACAGUAUCUGUCUGCCCCCUAGUGUAAGGCUUUCAUCUGCCUAAAACUGAACCUGCCAUGAAAAUAUGAGAUCUUAAAGGGAAAGCACUUUUGGCUCACGUAUGCAUGCAAGAAAGAAACUUAUGUACAUAUUAAUCAGAUUAACUCCAAAGGAUUUCAGAUUAAUUGGUUUGGACACCAUCUGAGUGCACAGUAAACUUUGUGCUUUGUGUAUCCUGAGAGCCAGUGCUGGGUGGAUAUACAGGGGCUGUGUUUCCAUCAGAUCAGUGCAGCGCUGGAUGAAGACCAUUCCUUUUCAGCAACAGCACUGAGAAAAUCUAUCCUUGUCUUCAUCAGAAGUCAAGGCAACCCUAACAGGACAAGGCAUUGGCACAGACAGACUCUGCAAUGUCGUCCAUGGAGAGUUGUACAAAAAAUCUUGAAACAGAUGUUGCGGAGACCCAUAGGAUGUGGCAGACACGUUAAUUUCUGAAUCAACAGUCUGAAGACAAAUACAUUAACAUGCAGUAAAGAGGUAAACCUUGGAUGACUUCUGGUAAGGAGAGGAGAUCCACUCAUGGCAUCCAAGCUACAGCUAACCAGAGUAUGGUCUGUGUUCUGGAGGCACUUACCAGAUGGCCGUCCGCCGCAUGGUCACGUCAGAUCAGGAGUAGAACAGCAAACA